Non-coding RNA from Schizosaccharomyces pombe (fission yeast), 1625 nucleotides. Lineage: Eukaryota; Fungi; Ascomycota; Schizosaccharomycetes; Schizosaccharomycetales; Schizosaccharomycetaceae. The record is from the annotation of a GenBank genome assembly.
UGAGUUAUUGCAAUAAGUUGGUUUCCAAAUAUUCCCAAAACUCUUAACGAGAGUUGGAGCGGUCAGGGUAAUAGUUUUCAACUAGCAAUAACGCCAUCUAGGAAAAGUUCCUCACUGAUAAGCGUAAUACCCGUGCACAAAGAUGGGGAAUGGUAAACUCUUGUACAUCCAUUUAUAGUAAAAUUGAGCAGUCACAACAGGUCACAAAACCCUACCCUAUUACUUUAACAUAACGUUACGGAAUAUACGGGCUUAAAUUCCCUUAGUGCACUAUGAAAUGAUAUUUUGAGUAUGAGAGUUUUAAAGCGCAAAGGGGAAGAUUUGCAAAACUGAUAUAUGUAUAGGUAUGUAUAUUCAUUCAAUAACUAUGAAUUCUUGGAUAAUAAAGAAAUCAAUGCUAAAGUAAUGUUGAAGCGUCAAUCGUAAAUACCAAGCCUUGCUUUCCAAAAAGGCUUAAAUGCAUAGCAAUUCCAUUAACAAAAGAUGAAUGGGUGUCGGUUCGAAAUGUAAAGAAUAAAAAUGAUAAAAAAGGAGGGAGGAUGAGGUAUUCUCUUUAAAAAUAUAGUACUUAAAAGGAGACAAUUCACCUAUAGUCACUCGCAUGCCCAAUUUUGCUUUAUUAUAAGGUGAGGCAAUUACAAAGAAAACAAUAUCUUACAAAAUUAAGAGGUAGGAGUAGAAGUCGAUUUGAAAGUUUGAAAAUCCGCUGACUCAGGAUGCAACAUUGCUACGUAAAUUAGUAAAGAGCAUAAAAAAUUGAAAGCCUCUUCAGCAGCUAUUUUUCUUACCUAUAUCUGGAACUGCUGUCUCUUCAGCUGAUAACGCAAAAUUUGCAGGCGAUACUCUGAUACAACGAUCACAGAGAAUAGAAUAGUUCAUAUUUUCCAUAGCUUCUUUAGCGUCUUCUGGUUCAUCAAAUUCUACAAACGCGUAGGAACGGUCCACAGCUAGAAAGUUAGCUAAACUUUUAAAAUGUUUGAGCAUUUUCAUGGCAUCAAAACUAGUUGUUUACCAACAUGACACCAAUACAUGACUACUUUACCUUUUUCUUUACGAUGUAAUGCAACUGAGAUAAUCUCUCCAAACGGAAUGAAAGCAUUGUAUAAAAGAGAUUCUGUUACAGAUGGAGCCAAGUUACCUAAAAAGAAAGUUAGCAAACAGAUCUUUGAAAACAACAAUCUUUUAAAACGAAGUAUCGCCGUCAUAUAAUAUUCAACAAGUUAAAUCAUAACCUCAAACAUUUAUCGUAGAUAAAUGGCCAUAUGAGGAAGCGGUAUCAUGAAACUCAUAGAUAUAUCAUAACAACGAUGAAUUCAUUGAUCCUUACCCACAUGGACGGUUGCUUUCCUUCUUUCCAUCCUCAGAUCAUCAAAACUAAAAAAAAAAAAUAAGAUGAAAAGCAAAAAGACUAAAAUAAUAGGGAAUUAAAAAGUUCAGAUUAUUUCGCACAUUUACUAUCUCACAUCCACCACCAUUCAGUAAGUAGUUUCUCAAAUAACGAUGCAGUCUUUUUCGGUAUUUAACAGAAACCUGAAAUAAAGAUUCCAGAGACAUAUGAUACAUGAAAUGUUAUAAAUAAAAUGAAUUGUAUGAAGAUAGACACUUUAGAGAAUGCGAGAAUAUUU